This is a long non-coding RNA of Paramisgurnus dabryanus, 687 nucleotides long. RefSeq lists it as uncharacterized. Lineage: Eukaryota; Metazoa; Chordata; Actinopteri; Cypriniformes; Cobitidae. The record is from RefSeq and is a predicted model, not a curated record.
GUCAUGAUGACACAAUAUUUAUGUUGACUAAUUAUCGACGUUGAAAUUGACACCGCCGAUUCUAUCGACCAAACGCAACAGCUCUAAGUCUAGCAUACACAUAAUUGCGUUCACUAACCUUUGCCUCAGGUUAUAAAUAACUUAAUAAUCACAACUAUCCACUACCUAAAAAGCUAUGAACAGCAGUCAUGCAAAUUUUCUCAAUUUGCUUUUCUAUUUCUACUAGCAAUUAUGUGAGCUGCAGUCUGGAUCCUGCCUCUGUCAGAUGACCUAACACAAAUGGAAAGAUGACAUCGGCCCUUGCAAGGACUUCAGACGAUGCCAGCACUGGACUACAUACAGUUGUAAUCAUGGGUGCCCAAACUUGUGCAUGUCACUGUACUGAUAUAUACUAUACAAAUAAUAUUUUCAGUAGUCCGUGUCAAAUUUUAUUUCAAGGUAAGAUAGCUUUACAUGUCUUUCAUUGUGCUUUAGUGAUCACACAGGCCCUGUUUAUGUUCUUAACCGGCAUGAGUUUAUUUAUUGUGAUAUACACAAAACAAGAUAUUUUGAUAAAUGAUGUUAAGUACACAGCUGCUCAUUUACUUCAAUAAAAUGUCUUUUUCCUAUUAUGGAAGUCAAUGGGUACCAUCAACUGUAUGAUUGACAUCAUUUAUCAGAUUAAAGAAUUUUUGGCAAGUUUAUAAC